CCCUUAGAUGUUCUGGGCCGCACGCGUGCUACACUGAGUGGAUCAGCGGGUCAGGUUGCGCGAAAGUGUUUCCUAAUCUUGAAAUCCGCUCGUGAUGGGGAUUGACGGUUGCAAUUUUCCGUCAUGAACGAGGAAUACCUUGUAAGCGCGGGUCAUCAUCCCGCGCUGAAUACGUCCCUGCCCUUUGUGCACACCGCCCGUCGCUCCUACCGAUUGAGUGGUCCGGUGAGGCUUUGGGAUCUGAGCAAAGAGAGCGUUUCGCUCGUUUUGCCCGGAAAACUCAGUCGAACCUUAUCAUUUAGAGGAAGGAGAAGUCGUAACA
RNAcentral lists this ribosomal RNA (322 nucleotides) under uncultured eukaryote. RNAcentral describes it as "partial 18S ribosomal RNA". It matches the Rfam family "Eukaryotic small subunit ribosomal RNA", at positions 1470 to 1796 of the family's 1831-position model. The record is from RNAcentral.